This 909-nucleotide ribosomal RNA is filed under the name uncultured marine bacterium. RNAcentral describes it as "bacterial SSU rRNA". It matches the Rfam family "Bacterial small subunit ribosomal RNA", at positions 56 to 1011 of the family's 1533-position model. The record is from RNAcentral.
UGCAAGUCGAACGCAGUAGCAAUACUGAGUGGCAGACGGGUGAGUAUAAUGUGGGAAUCUGCCUUUUGGUUUGGAAUAACUCGGGGAAACUUGAGCUAAUACCGGAUAAGCCCUUACGGGGAAAGAUUUAUCGCCGAAAGAUGAGCCCGCACUUGAUUAGCUUGUUGGUGAGGUAAAAGCUCACCAAGGCAACAAUCAAUAGCUGUUCUUAGAGGAAGACCAGCCACAUUGGGACUGAGACACGGCCCAGACUCCUACGGGAGGCAGCAGUGGGGAAUCUUGCACAAUGGGGGAAACCCUGAUGCAGCGAUGCCGCGUGAGUGAAGAAGGCCUUUGGGUUGUAAAACUCUUUCGUCGGGGAAGAAAAUGACUGUACCCGAAUAAGAAGGUCCGGCUAACUUCGUGCCAGCAGCCGCGGUAAUACGAAGGGACCUAGCGUAGUUCGGAAUUACUGGGCUUAAAGAGCUCGUAGGUGGUUAAAAAAGUUGGUGGUGAAAUCCCAAGGCUUAACCUUGGAACUGCCAUCAAAACUUUUUAGCUAGAGUGUGAUAGAGGAAAGUGGAAUUUCUAGUGUAGAGGUGAAAUUCGUAGAUAUUAGAAAGAACACCAAAUGCGAAGGCAACUUUCUGGAUCACUACUGACACUGAGGAGCGAAAGCAUGGGUAGCGAAGAGGAUUAGAUACCCUCGUAGUCCAUGCUGUAAACGAUGUGUGCUAGACGUUGGAAAUUUUAUUUUCAGUGUCGCAGCAAAAGCGUUAAGCACACCGCCUGGGGAGUACGACCGCAAGGUUAAAACUCAAAUGAAUUGACGGGGACCCGCACAAGCAGUGGAGCAUGUGGUUUAAUUCGAAGAUACGCGCAGAACCUUACCAACACUUGACAUGUCCGUCGCGACUCGUAGAGAUAUGA